GACGGAAUCACCCAGAGCAGGCGGAACGGGACGCUCGGGAGCGGGGCACCGAGCCGGGCUCUUUUCCCGUCGGACCGGACGCCCGCUUCCGGUUUUUGCUGAGGUGCCCCGCACGCGUCGCCGUUGCCUGCCUGCGCCGCUCGCUCGGCGGACGCGCCAUGCCAAAAAUACCAAAGGGCAGAGGAGGAGGGCAAGAGAAAAAAGUCAUCCAUCCUUACAGCAGAAAGGCUGCUCAGUUUACGAGAGAAGCACACAAACAGGAAAAAAAGGAAAAGUUGAAGAAUGAAAAAGCCUUGCGUCUGAGUAUUGUAGGAGAAAAAUUGCAAUGGUUUCAAAGUCACCUUGAUCCCAGCAAAGCAGACUACACAAAGAAAGAAGCCUGUGAACUAAUUGAAAAAUAUUUACAUCGAUUCAGUGAUGAGCUGGAGCAGAUUGAGUUACAUAACAGCAUUAAAGGCAGACAGGGAAGGCAGCACAGUUCCCGGGAGAUAAUCAUCAAACAGACCAUAGAGCAUGAAAGACAACUCUAUGAAGGAUAUGGGAUAGACAUUCCUGACAUUGUGAAUGGCAAACAUCUUAAAAUUUUCAGAGAAUGGGAUGGUGAUCUGAAGAAACUGCCAAACAUUAAAAUGAGAAAAGUCUCUACUAAAAAUGCUGUUUGCAGUAGGACAGAGAUGGCAAAUGGGGAAGCUGAAGAGGAAUUAGAUACAGCAAAAGACACAGACUAAUGAGCACCAGCUGAUACGAAAGAUGAAACAGCUGAAAGAGACUGCCAGGAACCUAUUUGAACUAUCACUGGAAGAAGGAAUAAAGCUGAUUUUUCGCUGUGAAGAACAAGAACAUUUGCCUACCUGAGAAUCACCUUUCUUCUAGCAUGGAAGUCGGCAGAUCCAACCCACCCACCACAAGGUUAUAGUUCUGAGCGAGACUUCAACUGUUGCCCUCUCCUCCAUUUUCUUUUUUGGGCACAUAUGUACAUAUUGUAUAUAUUCGCUGUUAAUUGGGGUGGAAUUUGAAGUUACUCUCGUUUAGGAAGGGUUUAUAUACAUUUGUUGUUCUACCUAAUAACCUGGGAAUUAAGGUUUAAAGGAAUUAGCUCUACAAAGCAGGUCUAGAAGGAUCUUGAACUGGCUUGCUAGAUGGGUCUUCAAAAGUGUGGCCUCUCCCAGCCUGCUUUGACUGACUGACCUGGUGUUUGCCUCCAAGGAGCUGCAACUAUGAGUAAGAUCCAUUAUAAUGGAGCUGCAGACUGUCACUGUAAAGAAAAUGUUCAGGUAGGUUUUUUUUUUUUUUUAAAAAAGGCUCCUAAUAUGGAGCCUCACAAUACCAUUUUAGUAAGCUAUUCCACAGAACCGUUCUUUAAGCAUCUACGCUUAAACUGUUACCUUAAAAAUGUGUGUACAGUGGCAUGAAAAUAUUCUGUGCAAAGUGUCAUGAGGCGUAUAAUAAAACUCUGCUUACAACUUUAACUAUGGAUUUGAUACUGAGUAGUUUUGUAAUCGGAGUAACUCUUAAUUACCAUAAUUCAAAUACUCUGACCAAUUUUCUACAUAAAUGGAACAGCUGUGUCAUUCUAUAACUAGUUCAUUAUUAGAAAUGAACAAAUAGAACAAACCAACAUUUACAUAGAGAGCCUGGACUAAAUACUGGUCUCUCAUUCACUGCUCUAAAAACAUAGGCUUGCUCCAGUUGAGGUAAAAGAAGCUCUCUGUUAUGCUGUCAGCCCUGAUUUAUAUUCUUGAAGCUAUAUCCAAUCAAGAAGGGCAGCAUGCUUAUUGAGAAUGACUGGGUCACCGUGUUAUUCCCUAGCCAACUACAAAGUGAUCUUGUCCAAAAUUCUUAUUUAUUUUGCAGCUUUAGAAAGAUAAGCAGCAAAUGUCAAGGUGAGAUUGCUAACAGUUCGCAAUAAAACCUUGCCUGAGCUUCCCCUCAGACUGGUAUAUGCCCAGAGCUGCUCUCUGCAGAGCUUCCUGUACCUAGCUGUUUUACCUCUGAGAGCCACUGAGCUUUUAUUGGUUGCUGAACUGGUUCAAGUGAAACCCACCUAAUUUUGUUACUACAAGUGGUCUUUCUUCAAAGAGAGAUUUACAGACAACAUGUCUGGCUUUAGGAACAUCUUACAUUGCUACAACAAUUCCUGUGUAAAUUUGCUUAAGAACAAUCUAAUUUCUUCAAACUAUAGACUGUGUACUAGCUCUUAAGGAAUUUUAACUAUAUGGCAAGUUUGAAGGAGUAAUAAGCUAGUUUUUGCUUUCUCCAAGAGCUUCAAACUGCAUGCAAAGCACCAACUGGAAUAAACAAAGAAGUGCUGUUUUAAUUCCCAUUUCCUCAGUGUAACUAUAAAAGAGGAUACUCCAUGCUGUACUGCAUACAUCUUACCAAAAGAUAUGUGACUUCUCAGGCAAAGUGAUCAACUGCACACCUAAGAUCAAGUUGAAUGAUGCAUCAGGAAGUACCUACUGCUGUGAAGGUAGGGUGGAGUCCUGGUCAUCUCUAAGGUUGCAACCAAGUUCCAACAUAAGCUUUAUUUUAGGUGCCCAAAUUUUAGCAAAGGACAAUUUUUUUUUCCAGAAAAGGUAGGAAAAAAAAUGGGCUAUAAGGUUACCCUUCAUGGACAUUAGUCAAACAUUACUUCAGGUUACCCACAAUUCCCUACUUUUAAAAUAAAUGUAGCUCUGUAUUUGUAUACAAUGGAUAGAAAUGAACAUGUCUAAUAAAAGCAGUUCACUCAUUUUUAUUGUAAUAAAAUGCACUUUGUUUUUACUGGCAAAGUUGGGCAUGUAGAUCUGUUUAAACUAUGAAAUUUUCUUUAUACCUUGGCAAGGUUGGCUUAGAUGAUUUCUGCUGCAACUCUUAAGAACAUGUUCUCUCAAGGAGCACUGUGAUCCAUUGGUCUUGGAGGCAAUGGAUACCCUUUAAUGUGAACACCCCUGCUUCAACACUUUAGAUGUCAUUGGAUAAUGUCAGUCUGUUUUGUUUUAAAUAGAUUAUCCAGAGCAUAGUUGUAGCAGUCUAUCAUAUAAAAAUGGUGGGGCCCAUACUUGCUUGAAUUCUGUGCAAAGAGGCUUUUAAAACUUAACCAAAAUCUUUUCCUGGGUGCAUAGCUUGAGACAAUGGGGAGGGGUCAGAAAGAUGGAAUCCUCCCAACAAAUUCAGUUAUAAUUAUGCUUGGAGUUCUGCCUGUGGAGAAAAAUGGGAGGUGAAAAUGUUUUGUCCUGUUGAAGGAAUGUCACACUUAAAGCAAACAUAAAUUUUGCGUUUUUGCUUUAACAAACCAAAAUGUUUUUCUUUUGGAAACUCAAAUAUACUAUAUGGUGGUAAGAUCAUUUCUACCACUUAAAAUACAGAAAACUGCAGUGGUUUGGGUCAUUUGUUUAAUACAAAUACAAAUUUGUUCUACAACAAUUAGAAGUUAUAUUAAUUUUGUUUCCCUUAACCCCCCCACCCCCUUUCUUUCAGUACAUAUUCACUCACAAAAACCAACUCUUUUUGGAAAAGAGAAUGGGGUUAAACAAGUAACAACUCUUAGUUCCAAGUAUUACAGUGUAAAAUAUUUUCUUCAUAGAUUAAGUGUCACGGUGGUGUACAGAAUUAUAAAAAAGGGCUUGAUCUGAUGAUGGGGAAUGUAUAGUUAUGGACAGGCCAGGAAAAUAAGCACUUGCUUUCAGCUAUAGCGCUAUGUGAAAUAGUACCAUUAGACUGGGUAAAAAUCCUCAUCAUACUAACACAAAGGUAAGUGGUGCAUUGUCACUGUUUUAAAAUGAAUAAAUGAAAGCAUUAGUUCUGGAAAUGGAAACAGAUUUUAAGAAACCAGGAAAGAAGAGAUCCAUGUCCACCUAGGGGACAGAAGCAUUUUGUUUCACAAUUCCUCACUAAUAGUAGUAAUUCUGCAAUCCUUAUCCAAGCAAAACUGCCACUGAAGUUAAAGGGAGUGUUGCUCAAGCAAGAAGGAAGAAUUUGGCUUCAUAUCAGUGCAGUCUACCUGGGACUGACCACAUCUACAAAAGGGCAGCUUACAAUGAGUGUUCAUCCCAGAGCUGAUCCUGCAGUUCUUAGCCAGUCCAAAUUCCACUUAGGUCAGCGGUGUUUUGCCUGAAUGAGGAUGCAUUUGAUUACCAAGCCUGUGGUUCAGCAACUUAUGUAUAUGUAGGUUUUACUGAUCUUUAACUUCUUCUCAAAAUAAAUUA
Molecule: RNA transcript, 4187 nt
Organism: Dermochelys coriacea (leatherback sea turtle)
Lineage: Eukaryota; Metazoa; Chordata; Testudines; Dermochelyidae
Gene: TMA16
Gene name: translation machinery associated 16 homolog
Exons: 8
Source: RefSeq, a predicted model, not a curated record